Molecule: long non-coding RNA, 8139 nt
Organism: Crotalus tigris (Tiger rattlesnake)
Lineage: Eukaryota; Metazoa; Chordata; Lepidosauria; Squamata; Viperidae
Exons: 4
Source: RefSeq, a predicted model, not a curated record
AAGAAUUGCCGCACUUGCCCGCGACCAUUUUUGUGAGAACCUGGUUAGCAUUGCAUUGCAUUUCAAAGCAGACAUUUAAUUAGAAUUUUCUUUUCUAUGUCUGCAACUGGCAAUGAUUAUCUUGCUGAAAAGUGACAGCUGCUUUGCUUGGCACUGCAGUGGCUGAUAUUAUUAAAUCAAUAUUGCAACAGACUGAAUGUUAUGUACUGUUAGUGUGUCUCCAUGAUAUCACUGACAAAAAAAAUACUGCGGGAUAUUAGAAUUUAUUCUGUUAGCUAAUCAUUACAAAACUCUUCAGAAGAAUCCAAUUCUGAGAAAUUGACACCUUGCCUUAUUUAAUAUUUAUUAUUUUUUCAUACAGACUUCAUCUUAACAUUUAGUACAAAAGAAACUGAGCUCUGGUUUAACUCCCAUUCCAUGCAGUUUCCUCACAUUUUGCUUUUUUUAUUUCAGCAAACAAAAAUAUGAAAUUGUCUUCAUAUUAAAUGAUAGGCAUCAGAUUUCUCUGGGAUCAAUUCAACAUCUCUUCAUAUUUGAAUUCCAUCUGUUUAUCCAAGAUUGGAUAACAAUAGUUUUCAAUUAAAAUCCAAAUAAAGAUACAAUUGGGUGGAACUUUUAGAGUAGACCAAUUUCAUGUAACUUUUAAGUAUGAAGAGUCUGGAUAAAUCCAUGCUUGAAUUUAUAUAUUGUAUAUAUAGGAAUGAAGAAUUAUGUAAUUCUUCACUUGUAUGUAGCAUUUGACUUGGUUUUAUUUACAUCAAAGAUUUCUGCAUGGCUUUUCUAAGUUACAUGUGAAGAGGCUCUGAACCUGCCCGGUUUGGAUAGUUCAUUUUUUACAUGCAUGUAAUUAAAAUUAAUUACUGAACUUUCCAAAGUCAAGAAUUUUUACAAGCACAGAUUGCUCUUUUCUGCACAAUGAAAGAAAAUUCAGCAAAAGGCUCAUUUAAUAGCAGGGGGCAAGGUGAAUGAGGUCAGCUACAGUGGCGAUAAGUGCACUGUUGGAAGGCCUGGUAGAUGAGGUGUUCCAAGGCCAUUAAGAGAACAGGCAAGUAUCCAGUGAGUUGGAAGGGCUAGAGCAGAGGUGUCAAACUCACAAUGUCAUGUGAUGUUGUCGCAAUGUAUCGUGACUUUUUUCCAUUGUCAGCAAUGGGGUGGGCGCGGUUUCGGCAUGACACAUCCGGCCUGUGGGCUGGCAGUUUGACACCCCUGAGCUAGAGGGAAAAACCUAGUAUUUAAACCUUGGAGCACAAUUCCUCAUAGAGACUUUGAUUUCUAUGUACUGCAAUAAUGGAAAUCUUAUCUAUGUCUAUGUCUUCAUUCUUGUCUGCAAUGAAGUUAUGUCUCGCCCAGCACUGAAGGCAGGCUAACCACACAAUAAAAGCCUGGAAAUAACAUCAUCACUUUGUCAUAGACUUUUAUCUGAAGAUCCAUAAAGUUAUCAGCAAUUAACAACCUAUAUAGAAAUAGAAAUGUGUACUCAAGAAACAUUAAUGGAUGGGUUUUACCAGUGUAGAUCAGAAAGAAUGUGCUAUAAGAGAAGACAAAAUGGAACCAGUCAGAUGCUGAGUAAUAAAUGGCAACGCAUUUAAUUGCUUGCAGUUUCUUGGCUCUUUGGUAAUAGAGAAUUAGUGAGAAAAUAUAUCCAAAUCUUUGCAGUGCAAAUAAACAAACAAAAACAAAUCCACCCCAAACUGAAAUUAAUAGAUCAACAUAACCUAUUCUAACAUGUCAUAUAAACUAGAGACAGUAAUUUGUUUUAUUUCAAUAUUUAGGUAGGAAUAAGUCUUUAAAAGAGGGUUCAACCCCCUCACAGGUGAGUUAUCCUACCUUCCAGAAAGCCCUUCACAAUACAAAGCACAUAUGCUCAGAGUGUGUAAGGCCAUAGAAGGUAGAAGUGGGCGGAACCUGCAGAACAGAACUUUUACAAAAAUGCACAGGUAUCAGAAUAUCUUUAUCUUAUGACUAAAAACAGUAGGAAAAAUAAACUAAUUUAAAUUACAAUUUAAUUGGCAUAAGGCCAUAAAUCUCACCCUUCAACAGAUUUCAAACAUUACCUCCAGACCAUCCUCCAGUCCUACAGUCUCAAUAAUUAUUGCACAAAGCAAGGACAAAAUGAAUUGAGAAUCAUUGAACUGUUUUUACUUAUAUUUUAAGCAUUCACAGGAAUUGGUUGUUCCUGUUAAAUCCAAAAAUGCUGAGAAAGCAAUGUUGUGUUUAUCAGUAUUAAACUCUCCUGUGUGCUAAUCAUCUUCCCAGAUAGGCUCAGAUGGCCCAUGGAGACAUACUGUAAUUUAAUGAAUAAUAAGACUGAGCUGAUGUGGAAGUUUAGUUAUCAAUUAAACAAUAGAACAACGCUGAACUCAUGUAGUGAUAACCUGAAGAAAAAAUGCAAGUACAUUGUUAACUACAGUAUUGGAAAAUAGAUGGAAAGAAUUUUUAAUUCAUAAAGCUAACAAUUACUAUUUUUGUACUAUAGAUCAUCAUGCAGAAAAUCUAUGUGGUCUCUAAGAGUUUAAAAUGACUUGAUGGAACAUAAUCAAUCACUGUCACAAGAUGUAGCUGACAGGACAAAACAAUAUCUUUUAAAGCUGGGGUUCUUUCCCCAGGAAUUGGGGAAAAUAUACAAUCUUAUUUUCACUAACCUCUAAGUGAAAUGUAACUUGUUUUUCAAUAAUGAAUGUAAGCAACCACAUUAUUUAUGGCUUCUGGUCUAUAGGUUUCACAGACUCUCAAAGGGAUCCAUGAUACAAAAAGGUUGGAAACCCUUGUUCUAAAGUGUUGUUGUUAGAAUUGUAUUUUGGAGAGUUCUUCGUUUGCAGUGCAUGGAAGACAAUCACACACCUAAAUCAAUGGCAAGAGUUUUUCCAGAGCUUAACCAGAAUUUUUUUAAAAAAAAACUUGUGACCUUCCAAAAUUGUACUUUUUAUUGAUUCUAGGUAAAAUGACUAACAGCCAGGAAUAAGAGUAACUGAAAUCUAACCACAAUGAGAGAGUCAUGGCUUCCCCAGUAAUAUAACUGUAUCAGCAGUUCACUCCAAUCUAAUGGGGGCAGGGGAGUCUGGAAAAAUUAUGUGAUUAGAAGUUUGAGAUGGAAGAAUGCCAAUGUACUUGCUUUAAAUGUUCAAAACAGACAGGCUUGCUAAACUGGCAAAAAAUCUGAGUUGUGAGCAUUUCUAAGAGGGCUGCCCCCUUUGUAAGAGUUUUAAUUGACCCUAGUCCUACAAAAGAGGAACCAUCAUCUCUACCUCUCAAAAGUAUUUUUUUUUCUUUUAUUGUAACAGUAUGUUCCAGCAAGGAUUACUAAUUUAUUCUCUGUGGAGCAAUAUAGGACUCAUUGAGUGCUAUGUAACAUUAUCAGUGUGUGAGAGACUGUACAUUAUAUACAUUUUCAGCAUGCCUUCACUUCAGAUUUGUUUGAUUUUAUAAGUGCCAAAAGUAAAAACAGAUGUUAUGCUAUUCAAUGUUUGGAUAUCAAAACCUAUCCCACUAUAACUUAUAUGUCCCACAAGGCAUUUGGAUAAUCUAGUAUGUUUGGGGAUGGAUGAAGAGGCCAGAAAAUGCUUGGCUUUGGGGUUUUCAUGCCAUUUUUCCUAAAUGCUUGACAUUAAAUAUGAAUCAGAUUUAGACUUCAACAAUAUAGCCAAGUUUAGGAUUCAACUUUGCACAAAAAUCCAAGAAGUCAAGGCUGACCUGAAAUAUCAGUAAACUCUUAUAGCAAGUUUAUGUAGGAGCAUUUCCAUAAAAACCCAAAAAGCAAGUUAAGCAUGCAUAAAUACUGCUUAAGUAAUUGAGGCUCAAUCGUUUUUGAUCCAUAGGCUUGGUAAGAGCAGUGACUGAAAUUUCUUCCAAGGCUGAAAUUCUGUUAUGGGCACGUUCCAUUUCUCAUUGCUCAAUUCAAUGUAAAAUUCCAAAAUAUAGCACAAACAACCAUUUGUUGUUAAGGAAUUAGGAUCAAGUGACGAGGUCAUAACCACAAAUACUUUACAGUAUAUGUACUAUGCUCUUUCCAAUCUACUUCUAGAAUAAGAAACAUGGAUGUAUGAAUGGUUUUAAGGGUAGAAACAGUAAAUUUAUGUAUGAUGCAGCAGUACCUGCACUAAAGAGACCCAAUACAUAUUCAGAAAAAAAACUAAUUCCUGUUGCUCAGGGUUGGUAUUUGAGAAUAAACACAAUAAAGUUACAAAUGUAAGACAGAUUAGUAAGAGCAAAACAACCAGAGUUUAAAAAUACAAUACCAACAAUCAAGGGACAAACCAUUGAACACCAAAGAACAUCAAGUUCAUUUAUAAUGAAAGUUCCAAAUUUGAAGGACAUAACAGAGGUGCAUAAAGUACAGUAAGUUGUGGAGAAAGGUAACAGGGAAAAGUUCCUUGUCUUCACAAAGUGCAUAGUUAAGUAUCGGAUUUUUCCAUAGAUGAUCCAGGCCAGCUUUAUCUUCCUAAAGUGGCCAAUAAAAUGUUUCUGGAAAGUCCACAAGCAGAUUAGAGCAAUCUCCUGGCAUUCUCUUCUUCAAUGAUUAGUAGAAAGUGGGAUCUUCUCACAAUACUAGAGAUAAUGUACUGAUGUCACAACUAUAAGCCAUUCCAGGAGCAAUUGUCAUGAACAUGUUUAAUCCUUCCCCCCCCUUUAAAAGUUCCUAAGAUGGUGGCCGCUACCACCUCUUGAAAUAGCAAAUUCCAUAAUUGAAAUAUGUGCUGUAUGAAGCAGCACUUCUUAAGAGCAUUUGGAAUAGAAUAGAGCUGGAAGGGACCUUGGAGGUCUUCUAGUCCAGCCCCCUGCUCAAAUUCAGGAUAGACAAAACUUCCUUUUGUCUAUCCUGAGUUUCCCACCAUUCCAUUUCCUUGGUGGUUUAGGGUCCUAGUAUUAUGAAAAGUACAGGGCAAAACAUCUCCUUACCUAAUAUCUUUCUUGAUAUUAAUACCAUACUAUAAUUGCUUGUAGCUAUGUCAUGAUUUCUUGCUCAACUCUUUUUUUCUAAACUAUAAAACCUUAAAAACCCUACUUUCAGGGUUUUCCAAUCUUGGCGUCUUUAAGAUGGGUGGACUCCUAACUCCCAGAAUUCCCUAGCUACAAGGAGAGCCAGUUCGAUCUGAUGUUUAAGGCUAAAAAGGCUGUGAGUUCUAGUUCUACUCCCAUCUUAGCCAUGAGAGCCCAACUCAUUUCACAGGGUUGCUGUUGUGGGGAAAAUAGGAGGAGCCUUAAAAAGGAAUUCUGGGGGUUGAGGACUACUUAUCUUAAAGUGGCCAGGUUGAGAAAUACUGUUCUAUUCCCUUGAACAUAUUCACUCUCCUUUGUUGUACUUAUUGGCCCUCUUGUCAUCAAUAGCCUUCAAAGCCAGGUGCUCAAUAAUGUACAAGUGUUCACUGAUCUCCAGGAUCUAGGAACCUGGUUGGCUGGUUUAGAAUAAACUAAAACCUCCAGCUUUGGAAGUUUUAAUUUACUUUACAUCUAUCAGGUAGCCUUUCCCAAUGUGCAGAUUUUUGGUUUUUUGUUCUUUUUUUGCUUUUGUUUUUAUUUCUGGGAUCUUUAGAUCAAGGAUAGGUAAUCUCACACCUUUCAGAUAUUCUGAACUUCACUUCUCAGGCUUCCCAGCAUAACUAAUCACUAGAGGGUAAGUCAGCUGUAGCCAAACAUCUGGAGAGCACUACUGAAAUCUACUUUAUCCCCUAUUUAAAAAUAUGGAAAUGUGUCCUUUUCUAGGGUUACUGGAAAAAUUCCCAAAUUAAAACUGAAAUUAAAAACCCACACAACCUCUUUUCAUCUGAUGAGUUUUAUGCUGAUUUUUAUGCUUUUAUUUUUGUUCAUAAGAUUAUACUCAAGAUUAUGCUAAAUAAGAUGGGCAGCUAUAUAAAUUGUUUAAAUACAAAAAUGUUUUUCUGAACUGCUUUGCUGCCAUCCACUGGCCAUCCAUAUUCUUACCUCCAGAGCUGGUAGUGAACCCAGAAAUGCCGCCUAUGGCUACAAAUUCAAAUUGUAUGGCUUUUGGUCAUUUAACCAGACCUUGAUCACUUCCCAUUUGGAUUACUGCCAUGCACUCUAUAAGGGACUAUCCUUGAUAACUACCCAGGAACUAGAAUUGGUCCAGAAAGUAGACUUAACAUUCUCUCUCAACAUUUAAUAGCCACCAAAUUAUUAUAAAAGCAUGAAGCUUCUCCAUUCAUGAUUGGUUCUUUUUUUGGUUGGUUUAUUUUAUUACACAACAGAUGGAUGUUAAAUCCAAUAUAUAGUAUAACACUACCCAAAAUCUAUUUUGCAUAACAGGGCCAACACUGUUUGAAAGAUAUUAGAAGACAUGAUUCAAACAUACCCAAACACAAGACCUCUCUUAUACCAUAAAAGCAGUCUGAUAUUUUAAAGCAGGGGUGUCCAACUUUGGCAACUUUAAGACUUGUGGACUUCAACUCCCAUAAUUCCUCAGCCAGCCAUGCUUUAACUUUAAGCCCACAAGUCUUACAAGUUACCAAGGUUGGACACCCGUUUUAAAGGUUUCUGCCGGAGCCUUAAAAAGUUGCUGCUGCUUUAAGGACUCUAUUCAUUAACAUUAAGAAAACCUUUAAAGCACCAGCUCAUUUUUUCAGGCUUGCACAGAAGCUUGAAAAAGGGUGGCUCCUUUAAUAAACAGCAGGGAGUUGCUGUACUUGUGCAUGGUUCAAAGCAUGCUUCUAAAUCAUUUUCAAAGCUUUCUACAGAGUAAAACCACAAAGUGAAAGUUCUGUUGCAUAAGGUUAAUUUGUUGAUGAUGGCAUGAGAGAUCUUAGUUUUGUUAAUAGUUUACCGAAGGCAUCUCCUGUUAAAAGACAUAAGUUAGCAGGUGAAGGGAAAGACUUCGGCUUAAGACCCAGAAUAAACAGAGCCCCCUUGAAACAGAAAGACUUCUAAUGUAGGGGGAAAUGAUGUGCUUGUACGCAAUGUGCCUGUGUAACAAAUGAAUCCUAAAGCUGUUUAAGGACCCAUAAUUUAAGACCGAUGUAUUCGUUCCAGUUUAUAUACCAUAUUGGACUUUAUGCCCUUUGGGAUGGAAUUAGUGAACAUCUUUAGUUUCUUGUGCUGCUAAUAUCCCCAAGUCUGUUAGAAACGGUGUUAAGAGACACGCGGAGGGUUCAGGUCUACCGAUUUCACCCUUCGGCCAACAGCUACCCCUAGUGGCUGCUGCGGGAAGCAAAACUUAUCUUGCGCAUUUAACUCUCGCCAUCGAUUUCGCCGCGGUCAACAGGUUUAACCAGCGAGGUAGCUCCGAGACGAGAUCACGAACCAAGGCAUUAUUAACUCCUUUGUCUCCGGAUAAGGCCGGCUUUCCUUCCCGACCACGUGGACGACGUACCAGAGCCCGAAGGCGAAAAGGAAAGGCACCCAUUUCCCAAGCGAAGAAAGACCGAGCAGAAAGUUGCUUAUCUCAAGUCAGAUUAUUAGUCCAGCUCCCUCCUGUCUGCUCCAGGAAUGAGCAACCCCAGCAAAGUUGGUGCUCCUUGACCUAUUUUCACACGGGCUCUGCAAGCAAGUGAUUCCAAACACCCAGGAAGAGCCUGUUUUCCACCAGGAACAGAGAAGACCGUACAGUAAGAGGAGUUCCAGAAGAGGGAAGGGGAAGAGCACCAGAGUAUUUUCAGUACAACAUAAUGUUGGAAAGAAAUCAUGAAAAGGACAUCAUAAUCCAUCAGCAGGCUAAGUCUCCGCAAAUUGAACACAACAGGAUCAAGUUUGGUGCGCUGUGAAAGCCAGCAAAAGAAAUAGCUAGUUCAAAAUUGACCCAGAUCUGACUGAAAGUGCAGAAGAAAAGAUUCCUGGAGGAAAAUACACCCCUCUACAUCCCUAAGGGAGAAGCAGUUUAGUACUAGCUUGCAGGAUAACUUUCUGAAAACUAAACUGAGUGAGAGGAAUUAGAUGUGGCAGAAGAAGACAACAAAAGAAAUGUGGAGUCUGAAAGCAGGCCAGAUUAAGCCAUUGACUGCAGAGGAGAGGGGGAAAAAAUCCAUAAUGCAUUUCUAUGGAGGAAUAUCUAUGAUGAGUCUCAAUGAUCCAAGUCAUGGUUGUCUCAAAGGUACUUUUCAAAAAAGCAACUGAACUUUUUUUUUGAAGGGGGGUAGGUAUUAAACAUUUUGCUUCUUAUCCAAGAAGCUUCUUUAGUUCAUUCUUCAGAAG